Molecule: ribosomal RNA, 357 nt
Filed under: uncultured Desulfobulbus sp.
Lineage: Bacteria; Pseudomonadati; Thermodesulfobacteriota; Desulfobulbia; Desulfobulbales; Desulfobulbaceae
Description: bacterial SSU rRNA
Rfam family: Bacterial small subunit ribosomal RNA
Source: RNAcentral
GUCUGGAGACAGGUGCUGCAUGGCUGUCGUCAGCUCGUGUCGUGAGAUGUUGGGGUUAAGUCCCGCAACGAGCGCAACCCUUGCCUUUAGUUGCCAGCAGUUCGGCUGGGCACUCUAAAGGGACUGCCGGUGUUAAACCGGAGGAAGGUGGGGAUGACGUCAAGUCCUCAUGGCCUUUAUGACCAGGGCUACACACGUACUACAAUGGCCGAUACAAAGGGCAGCGACACUGCGAGGUGAGGCCAAUCCCGUAAAAUCGGUCUCAGUCCGGAUUGGAGUCUGCAACUCGACUCCAUGAAGUUGGAAUCGCUAGUAAUCGUGGAUCAGCAUGCCACGGUGAAUACGUUCCCGGGCCUU